RNAcentral lists this ribosomal RNA (164 nucleotides) under uncultured eukaryote. Its description in RNAcentral is "partial 18S ribosomal RNA". It matches the Rfam family "Eukaryotic small subunit ribosomal RNA", at positions 1487 to 1650 of the family's 1831-position model. The record is from RNAcentral.
CCGCACGCGCGCUACACUGUUGCAUUCAGCGAGUUUACAACCUUGAUCGAGAGGUCUGGGUAAUCUUUCAAAAUGCAACGUGAUUGGGAUAGAUUAUUGCAAUUAUUAAUCUUCAACGAGGAAUUCCUAGUAAACGCAAGUCAUCAGCUUGUAUUGCAUUACGU